AGCAGAGUGGCGCAGCGGAAGCGUGCUGGGCCCAUAACCCAGCGGUCGAUGGAUUGAAACCAUGCCUCUGCUA
RNAcentral lists this transfer RNA (73 nucleotides) under Merluccius polli (Benguela hake). Its description in RNAcentral is "tRNA-Met". It matches the Rfam family "tRNA". Rfam says of the family: Transfer RNA (tRNA) molecules are approximately 80 nucleotides in length. Their secondary structure includes four short double-helical elements and three loops (D, anti-codon, and T loops). Further hydrogen bonds mediate the characteristic L-shaped molecular structure. tRNAs have two regions of fundamental functional importance: the anti-codon, which is responsible for specific mRNA codon recognition, and the 3' end, to which the tRNAs corresponding amino acid is attached (by aminoacyl-tRNA synthetases). tRNAs cope with the degeneracy of the genetic code in two manners: having more than one tRNA (with a specific anti-codon) for a particular amino acid; and 'wobble' base-pairing, i.e. permitting non-standard base-pairing at the 3rd anti-codon position. Lineage: Eukaryota; Metazoa; Chordata; Actinopteri; Gadiformes; Merlucciidae. The record is from RNAcentral.